AGUGAACGCUGGCGGUAGGCCUAACACAUGCAAGUCGAACGGCAGCACAGUAAGAGCUUGCUCUUACGGGUGGCGAGUGGCGGACGGGUGAGGAAUACAUCGGAAUCUACUUUUUCGUGGGGGAUAACGUAGGGAAACUUACGCUAAUACCGCAUACGACCUACGGGUGAAAGCAGGGGAUCUUCGGACCUUGCGCGAUUGAAUGAGCCGAUGUCGGAUUAGCUAGUUGGCGGGGUAAAGGCCCACCAAGGCGACGAUCCGUAGCUGGUCUGAGAGGAUGAUCAGCCACCCUGGAACUGAGACGCGGUCCAGACUCCUACGGGAGGCAGCGGUGGGGAAUUUUGGACAAUGGGCGCAAGCCUGAUCCAGCCAUCCCGCGUGGGUGAAGAAGGCCUUCGGGUUGUAAAGCCCUUUUGUUGGGAAAGAAAAGCAGCAGGUUAAUACCCCGCUGUUCUGACGGUACCCAAAGAAUAAGCACCGGCUAACUUCGU
This 491-nucleotide ribosomal RNA is filed under the name uncultured bacterium. RNAcentral describes it as "partial 16S ribosomal RNA". It matches the Rfam family "Bacterial small subunit ribosomal RNA", at positions 29 to 506 of the family's 1533-position model. The record is from RNAcentral.